AGAGUUUGAUCAUGGCUCAGAGCGAACGCUGGCGGCAGGCCUAACACAUGCAAGUCGAACGGGCCCUUCGGGGUCAGUGGCAGACGGGUGAGUAACGCGUGGGAACGUGCCCAUCGGUUCGGAAUAACCCCAGGGAAACUUGGGCUAAUACCGGAUACGUCCUUUUUGGAGAAAGAUUUAUCGCCGAUGGAUCGGCCCGCGUCUGAUUAGCUAGUUGGUGGGGUAAUGGCCCACCAAGGCGACGAUCAGUAGCUGGUCUGAGAGGAUGAUCAGCCACACUGGGACUGAGACACGGCCCAGACUCCUACGGGAGGCAGCAGUGGGGAAUAUUGGACAAUGGGCGCAAGCCUGAUCCAGCCAUGCCGCGUGAGUGAUGAAGGCCCUAGGGUUGUAAAGCUCUUUCACCCACGACGAUAAUGACGGUAGUGGGAGAAGAAGCCCCGGCUAACUUCGUGCCAGCAGCCGCGGUAAUACGAAGGGGGCUAGCGUUGCUCGGAAUCACUGGGCGUAAAGGGCGCGUAGGCGGACCUUUAAGUCAGGGGUGAAAGCCUGUGGCUCAACCACAGAAUUGCCUUUGAUACUGAGGGUCUCGAGACCGGAAGAGGUUGGUGGAACUGCGAGUGUAGAGGUGAAAUUCGUAGAUAUUCGCAAGAACACCAGUGGCGAAGGCGGCCAACUGGUCCGGUUCUGACGCUGAGGCGCGAAAGCGUGGGGAGCAAACAGGAUUAGAUACCCUAGUAGUCC
This 744-nucleotide ribosomal RNA is filed under the name uncultured bacterium. Its description in RNAcentral is "bacterial SSU rRNA". It matches the Rfam family "Bacterial small subunit ribosomal RNA", at positions 8 to 796 of the family's 1533-position model. The record is from RNAcentral.